This 85-nucleotide transfer RNA is filed under the name Rickettsia sp. RNAcentral's name for it is "tRNA-Leu". It matches the Rfam family "tRNA". From Rfam's summary of the family: Transfer RNA (tRNA) molecules are approximately 80 nucleotides in length. Their secondary structure includes four short double-helical elements and three loops (D, anti-codon, and T loops). Lineage: Bacteria; Pseudomonadati; Pseudomonadota; Alphaproteobacteria; Rickettsiales; Rickettsiaceae. The record is from RNAcentral. RNAcentral also lists the same sequence under 3 other names.
GCGGGUGUGACGAAAUUGGGAGACGUACUAGAUUUAGGUUCUAGCGCCGCAAGGCUUGGGGGUUCAAGUCCCUCCAUCCGCACCA